CCAAUACUCCCUCCGUCCCAUAUCAAGUGACUUUCUAUUACAUGUAUCUAGACGCCUUUUAGGCAUAGAUACAUUCAUAUUUGGGCAAAAUUGAAUCACUUAAUACGGGACGGAGGGAGUACCUU
Brachypodium distachyon (stiff brome) is the source of this 125-nucleotide non-coding RNA. NCBI's taxonomy places the organism in Eukaryota, Viridiplantae, Streptophyta, Magnoliopsida, Poales, Poaceae. The record is from Rfam.